UCAAUCUAUUCUGAAAGAAAACAAAUAGGUACUCCACGUGUAAAAAAUUGUGCUUGACAUCUGAUCUGAAUCAGCAUGAAAGUCAACAAAUAUCAUUUACCCAUUCUAAUAGUCACCACUGAUAUGAUACAUAAUAAGUCAAGUGUAAAAAUCUUAUCUCUUACUAGCAAGAGAAGAAAAAACACUAGAAUACGAUGGCUGCUGCAAGUGAGGACUAAGAUCCAAGAGAUAAGUGUUGCUUUUCGAGACAUCAAAGGGUAGCAUGCCAAUAAAGCUUUAUUCUUAAUCCAAUAUUCUGUGACAUCCUCAUAGUUGCUCAUUCAGAGCCAAUUCCUUUUGAAGAGCUACACAAGAUUCGGACCAAUAUCAGACGCGCUCAUCUGCAGUGUUCAGCCGUUUCCAGAAGAAAGAAACCGCACAGAUAGUAGGGGAAGAAUCUUCCACAGAUUCAAUCUCUAAAAAGUUGAAAUUGUAUAUACCAGACUUCUUCAAACUAAAAAUGAAAACAAGAACUAUCCAGCCCAGUAGUUGUACAUGUGGUGCCCGGGGUCCUGUACAGGAGCAGCAGCCUCGACAGCAAGCACAACAAAGAGCAGCAGCACUUGCGAGAGAAACUGCCAAGGUGAGCCUUCACUGAUCUGGACCAGCUGAGCAGCAGAGAAAGAGUGGUAAGAGACACCUGUAUUGGUUUGUAUCCUUAUUUUUUUGUUUUGUUCAUUGUGUUUAAGCUCAUCUGGUGGUUUCUUGCCGCACUGCAUUGAAGGGUAAGAGCAGGGCAAUGUUAACAGUAGGCAGUAAGAAGACCAACACAUGAAUGAAGCAGCAGGGGCCACGAUGGUAAGUGCAUUGGAAGUAAGACUUCUGCAGGCUUGGUUGGCGACGUGCAUCAGGUGGCACUCGGCAACAAACACAUCAGAAGGGGGGGAGGGGGCAGUUGAGGCUAUGAAACGACACCAGUUUGCCUACAGCAAUAAAGUGCAACAGCAACACUCCAUUGCGCAAAAGUAGCAGCACUCCGAGGUCCGCGGCAGUAGGUAGCAGCAAGAACAACAACAUGAUGCAAGGGACAAGAGCUGUGGGGUGGUCCUGCCUUCUCAAGAGGGAUCAAUGUGCCCAGCCUGUAAGACCAAUGUUCAACAGAAAACACCAGAUCAAAGCAGACAAAGUCCAUAAAAUACAAUUUAGGGGAACGGCUCAACCACACUCAACACGAUGAGAAAAAUCAAUUUAAAUCACAAAUUUACAAAACCAAAAUCCAUACAACCAUUCAACCAUCUUCAUUCGAAACGACAAAUGUAAGAGGGGGAAAGGUAACAUAAGUUCGCAGAUCAAUCUAACAGAAAAUUAUGAGAACAAACCCCCACCAAACAAGCAAGGAGAGGGAAAAAAAAUGCGCUGCGACCAAUUUCAUCUAAUCCAAGGCCAAUGCAAAUACAUUACAAAAUCUAAAUAAACAAAAUCACAAAAUAACGCCGCAACCCUAGCCUCCCUCCGACGGAUCAUCGAGAAAGCGACGCAACGCAACAAAGCCUCACCUUAAUGGAUCGAUGCGAUCGAUAACAA
RNAcentral lists this long non-coding RNA (1563 nucleotides) under Salvia miltiorrhiza (redroot sage). RNAcentral's name for it is "long non-coding RNA (SMIL_LNC011156)". Lineage: Eukaryota; Viridiplantae; Streptophyta; Magnoliopsida; Lamiales; Lamiaceae. The record is from RNAcentral.